ACAGCCAUACCAUGCUGAAUAGACCGGUUCUCGUUAGAUCACCGAAGUCAAGCAUCAUUGGGCGCGGUCAGUAUGGGUGACCAUG
This 85-nucleotide ribosomal RNA is filed under the name Caerostris extrusa. Lineage: Eukaryota; Metazoa; Arthropoda; Arachnida; Araneae; Araneidae. The record is from RNAcentral.